This 205-nucleotide ribosomal RNA is filed under the name uncultured bacterium. Its description in RNAcentral is "partial 16S ribosomal RNA". It matches the Rfam family "Bacterial small subunit ribosomal RNA", at positions 524 to 727 of the family's 1533-position model. The record is from RNAcentral.
UACGGAGGGAGCUAGCGUUGUUCGGAAUUACUGGGCGUAAAGCGCGCGUAGGCGGCUUUUGUAAGUUAGAGGUGAAAGCCCGGGGCUCAACCCCGGAACUGCCUUUAAGACUGCAUCGCUUGAAUCCAGGAGAGGUGAGUGGAAUUCCGAGUGUAGAGGUGAAAUUCGUAGAUAUUCGGAAGAACACCAGUGGCGAAGGCGGCUC